RNAcentral lists this ribosomal RNA (429 nucleotides) under Gemmatimonadota bacterium. RNAcentral's name for it is "Gemmatimonadetes bacterium partial 16S ribosomal RNA". It matches the Rfam family "Bacterial small subunit ribosomal RNA", at positions 355 to 776 of the family's 1533-position model. Lineage: Bacteria; Pseudomonadati; Gemmatimonadota. The record is from RNAcentral.
UAGGGAAUCUUCGGCAAUGGACGAAAGUCUGACCGAGCAACGCCGCGUGAGUGAAGAAGGUUUUCGGAUCGUAAAACUCUGUUGGUAGAGAAGAACAAGGACGUUAGUAACUGAACGUCCCCUGACGGUAUCUAACCAGAAAGCCACGGCUAACUACGUGCCAGCAGCCGCGGUAAUACGUAGGUGGCAAGCGUUGUCCGGAUUGAUUGGGCGUAAAGCGAGCGCAGGCGGUAUCUUAAGUCUGUUGUGAAAGCCCCCGGCUCAGCCGGGGAGGGUCAUUGGAAACUGGGAGACUUGAGUGCAGAAGAGGAGAGUGGAAUUCCAUGUGUAGCGGAGAAAUGCGUAGAUAUAUGGAGGAACACCAGUGGCGAAGGCGGCUCUCUGGUCUGUAACUGACGCUGAGGCUCGAAAGCGUGGGGAGCAAACAGG